Molecule: ribosomal RNA, 230 nt
Filed under: uncultured Alicycliphilus sp.
Lineage: Bacteria; Pseudomonadati; Pseudomonadota; Betaproteobacteria; Burkholderiales; Comamonadaceae
Description: partial 16S ribosomal RNA
Rfam family: Bacterial small subunit ribosomal RNA
Source: RNAcentral
AGAGAUGCAUUGGGUUUAAAGGGUGCGCAGGCGGUUUUGUAAGACAGAGGUGAAAUCCCCGGGCUCAACCUGGGAAUUGCCUUUGUGACUGCAAGGCUGGAGUGCGGCAGAGGGGGAUGGAAUUCCGCGUGUAGCAGUGAAAUGCGUAGAUAUGCGGAGGAACACCGAUGGCGAAGGCAAUCCCCUGGGCCUGCACUGACGCUCAUGCACGAAAGCGUGGGGAGCAAACA